This 519-nucleotide ribosomal RNA is filed under the name uncultured bacterium. RNAcentral's name for it is "bacterial SSU rRNA". It matches the Rfam family "Bacterial small subunit ribosomal RNA", at positions 991 to 1509 of the family's 1533-position model. The record is from RNAcentral.
GAGAACUUGGCAGAGAUGCCUUGGUGCCUUCGGGACCUCUGAGACAGGUGCUGCAUGGCUGUCGUCAGCUCGUGUUGUGAAAUGUUCGGGUUAAGUCCCGCAACGAGCGCAACCCCUAUCCUUUGUUGCCAGCGAUUCGGUCGGGAACUCAAAGGAGACUGCCGGUGAUAAACCGGAGGAAGGUGGGGAUGACGUCAAGUCAUCAUGGCCCUUACGAGUAGGGCUACACACGUGCUACAAUGGCGCAUACAAAGAGAAGCGACCUCGCGAGAGCAAGCGGACCUCAUAAAGUGCGUCGUAGUCCGGAUCGGAGUCUGCAACUCGACUCCGUGAAGUCGGAAUCGCUAGUAAUCGUAGAUCAGAAUGCUACGGUGAAUACGUUCCCGGGCCUUGUACACACCGCCCGUCACACCAUGGGAGUGGGUUGCAAAAGAAGUAGAUAGCUUAACCUUCGGGAGGGCGUUUACCACUUUGUGAUUCAUGACUGGGGUGAAGUCGUAACAAGGUAAGCGUAGCGAG